AAGUCGUAACAAGGUUUCCGUAGGUGAACCUGCGGAAGGAUCAUUAAAAUACCGAUACAACACUGCUUUUGGCACUAAACACACGAACCUAUUUUUUUUCUUCUUCUAGUUUCACUUUUGUGAAUUUUUUUUAAAAAAGAAAACAAAACUUUCAACAACGGAUCUCUUGGUUCUC
This 175-nucleotide unclassified non-coding RNA is filed under the name fungal sp. Its description in RNAcentral is "partial contains small subunit ribosomal RNA, internal transcribed spacer 1, and 5.8S ribosomal RNA". The stretch from base 1 to 46 matches the Rfam family "Eukaryotic small subunit ribosomal RNA", at positions 1786 to 1831 of the family's 1831-position model. The record is from RNAcentral. Lineage: Eukaryota; Fungi.